CUACGGGGGGCAGCAGUGGGGAAUAUUGCACAAUGGGCGAAAGCCUGAUGCAGCAACGCCGCGUGCGGGAUGAAGGCCCUAGGGUUGUAAACCGCUUUCAGCAGGGAAGAAAAUGACGGUACCUGUAGAAGAAGGUGCGGCCAACUACGUGCCAGCAGCCGCGGUGACACGUAGGCACCAAGCGUUGUCCGGAUUUAUUGGGCGUAAAGAGCUCGUAGGCGGUUCAGUAAGUCGGGUGUGAAAACUCUGGGCUCAACCCAGAGACGCCACCCGAUACUGCUGUGACUAGAGCGCGGUAGGGGAGCGGGGAAUUCCUAGUGUAGCGGUGAAAUGCGCAGAUAUUAGGAGGAACACCAGUGGCGAAGGCGCCGCUCUGGGCCGUAACUGACGCUGAGGAGCGAAAGCGUGGGUAGCAAACAGGAUUAGAUACCCCCGUAGUC
This 440-nucleotide ribosomal RNA is filed under the name uncultured bacterium. Its description in RNAcentral is "partial 16S ribosomal RNA". It matches the Rfam family "Bacterial small subunit ribosomal RNA", at positions 339 to 795 of the family's 1533-position model. The record is from RNAcentral.